RNAcentral lists this ribosomal RNA (264 nucleotides) under uncultured bacterium. Its description in RNAcentral is "partial 16S ribosomal RNA". It matches the Rfam family "Bacterial small subunit ribosomal RNA", at positions 793 to 1055 of the family's 1533-position model. The record is from RNAcentral.
GUCCACGCUGUAAACGAUGGAUACUCGCUGUAGCUGGUAAUCAAUCCGGCUGUGGCUUAGCUAACGCAUUAAGUAUCCCGCCUGGGAAGUACGGUCGCAAGAUUAAAACUCAAAGGAAUUGACGGGGACCCGCACAAGCGGUGGAUUAUGUGGUUUAAUUCGAAGCAACGCGCAAAACCUUACCUGGCCUUGACAUGCCUUUGACCGGUGCAGAAAUGUACCUUCCCUUCGGGGCAGAGGACACAAGUGCUGCAUGGCUGUCGU